UCAAUUCUUGAAGUCAUUGUUGUGCUUAGGAUGAACUGUGAAAUGGUCAUCUUCCAGAUUUCAAUGGUUGUUAGUGCUGCUUGGAUGAAACUGCACACUGGCACAAACUGUGCAAUGCUGACAAGAUACAUAAUUUUAUAUAUGUACAUAUAUCAUUUUUCCCAAGAUACAAAGGUGCAUUUACAGUUGUUUACUCAGUGGAGUUUCAUUAGACUAGGGGAAUAUCACAGAAAGUCAGAGCAUGCUGACACAGACAUCAGAUGCAGUUUUGAGCAUGAGAGUAGAUGAAAGCACAGGAAGUAUUACCUCCAGUUUCCUGCAGAAAGUGCCUUCAGUGAUUUCACUACUUUUUGCAUCAUUAAUCAGAAAAAGGGGGAAGAAUGCUGAAGGUAGUAUAGAUACAGUAAACAGAACAAUUAAUCUAAUUAUUCAUUUCUAGAAAAAAAAUGAAAAAUACUCUUUUAAAAGAACCAAAUGAAAGUAUUUCUACUGUAUGAGCUUUAGGACAUGUUUUGACACACCAGUAAUAGAAGAUCAAUUUAUGAAGUACAAUGCAAUGGAUAAAGAAAACCACAGAUCUCUAGAACUCAAACAGCAAGUGUCACAACUGAGAAGAAUGUGAGAGAUGGAAGAACUUUCAUUGCUGCAAUGUCAUACUUGCUAAUAUUAGCAAUGAAUCAAUCAAACAAACAAACAGAUUGAACAAGAAUAGAGCUGAAGUGCCAAAACAGUGAAAGCUGCUAGAGCUGCUGAGGGAAGAAACCUCAUAGGAAUACUGUGUGGAGGACUUUGGCAGGGAGGAGUGACAUAUCACAACAGCAAAACAACCAAACCAUCCCCCAACACACACAAACCCCAAACAAAAGAACAAAUCCAAACCCCCAAUAAUUAGAGGGAACGGGUAGAUCCAGAGAAAGAUAAAUCUACGCAAUGUAGAGGUCACAGAAUAAAAGAUUGAGCACUGCACUUCUAACCAUGUGAUGCAGUUAGGAAAGGUCAAAUAUUUCAGAGAGAAGUGCAAAUAUGCCAUCCAGGAAUAUGUGUUAUGAUUUGACUCAAGUCAGCAACUAAACCCCACAAUGCUGCUUGGUCACUCCACACCAGUGGGAUUGGGGAGCAAAUUGGAAGGUUAAAAGCUAGAAAACCUGUGGAUUGAGAUAAAGACAGGUUAAUAGAAAAAGCAAAAGCUGCCCACAAAAGCAAAGCAAAGCAAGGAAUUAACUCCCUGCUUCCCAUGGCAGGCAAGUGCUCAGCCAUCCCCAGGAGAGCAGGGCCCCAUCUUGCAUAAUGGUGACUUGGGAUAACAAACACCAUCACUCCAAACAUAUCCCUCUUCCUCCUACUUCCACCCCACUUUAUCUACUGAGCAUGGUGGUCUGGAAUAUCCCUUUGGACAGCUGGGGUCAGCUGUCCCAGCUGUAUAUUCUCCCAAAUCUUUGUGCACUGCCAGCCUGGUUGCUGAUGUGGUUGGAGAAGCAGAAAGGGCCCUGGCUCUGUGUAAGACCUGCUCAGCAAUAACAAAAAUAUCCCCAUGUUAUCAACACUGUGUUCAGAACAAAUCCAAACCACACUGGGAAGGAAUUUAACUCCAUCCCCAUGCAAAACCAUCACAGAAAUUAAAUACCUACAUCUGUUUAGAGCUCCUCCUCUCUGUUCAGCAGAGACCCAUUCAAGACAGGGAUAUUCCAGUGGUUUGUGUGUCAAGAGGUACAUCAUGAUAUACCAGAUCUGCAUAUUUCAUAUCAACUCAGUGGUUGUCCAUUGGUUUUGUUGAGCUGCCUCCUGAAUGAAGAUUUUAGGCAAGCUGUGAUUGGUGUACCUGAUCAAACCAUGAUGCACAGCAAAAUCUGAGUUUUCUGGUAAUUUAUUAUUUACUUCUGAUGUUCUUUUCAUUACUGGCUGCAGUAUUAGUACCAGAUGAGUUUCAUGAAGUGUUGCAUGUCAUGAGGAAAAGGCUUCACUGAUAAAAAACCCCACUUGUCAGAUGAGUUCUGCUGCAGUAUGGCAAACACAUUAAAAAAAUUCACAGCCUAAACACGGUGUGGGGCAGACAAUUUCUUGAAAAAGAAAAACCAAAACAGGAAAAGAGCACCACACCAUUCUAAAGCACCCAGAAGGCAUGCUGUCAAGAAACUAGAAAUCAUCUCCAGCUAUGUGAGCAUGUAAUGGAAGUGCCUGAGGCUUUUUACUCCUGGACUACCCAAGGUCUUGGCCCUGUUUACCAUGAGAAAAUAUCUACAGAGACAUCAGCCAUGAAUUGAUCUGUGCAUGUAACUAGAGUUCACAGCUGCCCAGAGCUUCACAGAGCAGGCAGAAUAACAGAACCAUUUGUUUCCUUCAGGAAGUGCCUGGCCUGGCCCUUCCUUCUCUGUGAGUGAAGUGAGACUGUGCCAUCAUCAAAGAAGCCCUCGGGAAACUUCCAAGAGGCAUCUGGUCUGAUUUAACCUCACCAUUACAGUAAGAUCCACAGCUACCAGGUCACUUUCUGUGGUAGCUUCCAGCAGCAAAACCAACUUUUCUGAGCAGCAGAUCCUAGCACAGCUGAUGUUACACACAAAGCUCUCUUGUAGGUCCACUCUAAGUAUUGAUGCAAUAAUGUCUUCCUGGAGCCUUUUCUUCCUCAGGCUGAACAAUCCCCAGCUAUCUC
Molecule: long non-coding RNA, 2647 nt
Organism: Parus major (Great Tit)
Lineage: Eukaryota; Metazoa; Chordata; Aves; Passeriformes; Paridae
Exons: 3
Source: RefSeq, a predicted model, not a curated record